This 85-nucleotide transfer RNA is filed under the name Streptomyces pilosus. Its description in RNAcentral is "tRNA-Pro(cgg)". Lineage: Bacteria; Bacillati; Actinomycetota; Actinomycetes; Kitasatosporales; Streptomycetaceae. The record is from RNAcentral.
CCGGUGCGACGGCUCGCGGGACGCCCGGGACGGCUCGGAGCCGUCCGGCUCGGUGGCACUCGGCUUCGGGGUGCCGGGCUUCGGG